UACGUAGGGUGCAAGCGUUAAUCGGAAUUACUGGGCGUAAAGCGUGCGCAGGCGGUUUGUUAAGUCAGAUGUGAAAGCCCCGGGCUUAACCUGGGAACGGCAUUUGAAACUGGCAGGCUGGAGUACGGCAGAGGGGGGUGGAAUUCCACGUGUAGCAGUGAAAUGCGUAGAGAUGUGGAGGAACACCGAUGGCGAAGGCAGCCCCCUGGGCCGAUACUGACGCUCAGGCACGAAAGCGUGGGGAGCAAACAGG
Molecule: ribosomal RNA, 253 nt
Filed under: uncultured bacterium
Lineage: Bacteria
Description: partial 16S ribosomal RNA
Rfam family: Bacterial small subunit ribosomal RNA
Source: RNAcentral